RNAcentral lists this transfer-messenger RNA (407 nucleotides) under Patescibacteria group bacterium. It matches the Rfam family "transfer-messenger RNA". From Rfam's summary of the family: Bacterial tmRNA, also known as 10Sa RNA or SsrA, is named for its dual tRNA and mRNA-like properties. Its role is to liberate the mRNA from a stalled ribosome. RNAcentral also lists the same sequence under 1 other name. The record is from RNAcentral.
GGGGGUGACCGGCUUUGACGGUCUGCUCUUUGACACACGUGCGACGCGGUGGAAGUUUGUUGACCACCUUAAUCUCGCAAACAACCAAACUUGCCAAGAACACUCUUGCAAGCGUGAAGUCACCAUUUACUAUGGCUGACUUCCCGUUCGCUUACGCGCGCGCUUAACUGCGUCUUCGCCUAAGCGACAUCUGACUGGCUCAGUUCUCGUAGUGUCCAGUUCAGGUGGAAUCAUCUAUGAGAUCGGUGCGCGUCCUCCCGAGCGCGUUUCCUAAAUAAGGGAUCAGGUAGGAGUGGUUUCGUUCUGAUUCCUCGCACCCUACCCUAGUACGUAAUCAGAACUAUGCGUCGUAGAUUCGUUGUUUAAGACAGAUUCGGACGGGAGUUCAACUCUCCCCACCUCCACAG